This 269-nucleotide unclassified non-coding RNA is filed under the name Hevea brasiliensis (rubber tree). The record is from RNAcentral. Lineage: Eukaryota; Viridiplantae; Streptophyta; Magnoliopsida; Malpighiales; Euphorbiaceae.
GCGGGGGGAAGGGAGGCCGUUGCUAUCGGCGAGUGGGGGAAAUUCGUCUUCGCUUUAUGCCCUCGGAGCGCGCGGGCGGCGGCAUCGUAGGCGCGGGCUGCGUCCUCGGCGGAGUCGUAGGUGCCGAGCCAGACACGGGUCUUGCGGACCGGAUCGCGGAUCUCGGCGGCGAAGCGGCCCCAGGGACGCUUGCGAACGCCGCGGAAGCGGGACUCGGCCGCUGAUCCGGCGGCGAGCGCCAACGCGGGGGACGCCGGAGGUGCCGCUCG